GUGAUAGUAAAUUUAAUAAUGUCAGCGAUUUGAAGGGUUUGAAUCCUAAACGUGAAGAAAUGUGCUUCACCCCUCCGCCCGCUGCCUUCCUCUCCACCACCCCCAGUCAUGUCGGGGAGCUCCGUGGCACAGAAGCCAAAACGCAUCGCUCAGAGCCCAUUGGUCCCACGUGCCAGGUCAUCUUUCUGAACAAAAGUCAAGUGUCCCAAUGCAGCCUGUGCCAGUGCUGGACAUGCACCCAACUGCUUGAAGAGCACAGUGGUAUUAAGAAGGAAGGAAGAGGAUACCGUGUAAUUUUGCAAUGAAACACCAAAUAUUCAUAGUCCAGGCACGUCCCAUUUUGGCUGUAUGGGCAGUUGGGUGCAGAGAGGAUCUGGAAUGGGAUGUGCUGUGGGUGCAUGGCCAAACAGCACCCCAUGGCACCCCAGCCAUGUCCACAACAUGCAG
Gallus gallus (chicken) is the source of this 447-nucleotide long non-coding RNA. The record is from Ensembl. Lineage: Eukaryota; Metazoa; Chordata; Aves; Galliformes; Phasianidae.